AUUGAACGCUGGCGGCAGGCCUAACACAUGCAAGUCGAACGAGUGGCGGACGGGUGAGUAAUGUCUGGGAAACUGCCUGAUAGAGGGGGAUAACUACUGGAAACGGUAGCUAAUACCGCAUACCAUCGGAUGAUCCCAGAUGGGAUUAACUAGUAGGUGGGGUAAAGGCCCACCUAGGCGACGAGCCCUAGCUGGUCUGAGAGGAUGACGAGCCACACUGGAACUGAGACACGGUCCAGACUCCUACGGGAGGCAGCAGUGGGGAAUAUUGCCCAAUGGGCGCAAGCCUGAUGCAGCCAUGCCGCGUGUAUGAAGAAGGCCUUCGGGUUGUAAAGUACGUUCAGCGGGGAGGCGUUACCCGCAGAAGAAGCACCGGCUAACUCCGUGCCAGCAGCCGCGGUAAUAC
Molecule: ribosomal RNA, 406 nt
Filed under: uncultured bacterium
Lineage: Bacteria
Description: partial 16S ribosomal RNA
Rfam family: Bacterial small subunit ribosomal RNA
Source: RNAcentral